AGUGGAAUAGCUGAGUCAUAUGGUGGUUCCAUUCCUAAUUUUUUGAGGAAUCUCUAUACUGCUCUCCAGAGUGGUUGCACUAAUUUUAAGUCUCACCAGCAAC
This 103-nucleotide microRNA precursor is filed under the name Marmota monax (woodchuck). Lineage: Eukaryota; Metazoa; Chordata; Mammalia; Rodentia; Sciuridae. The record is from RNAcentral.